Molecule: long non-coding RNA, 269 nt
Filed under: Lathyrus oleraceus (garden pea)
Lineage: Eukaryota; Viridiplantae; Streptophyta; Magnoliopsida; Fabales; Fabaceae
Description: Pisum sativum (pea) long non-coding RNA (PSAT_LNC035055)
Source: RNAcentral
UAUUACUUACCAUUUUUUUUCUAGUUUAUGAUGGUUAUGCUUUCUAAUUUAGGAGUCGUUUUAAAAUUUUAGUCGAGCUACCGACAUUAAACACUGCUACAUUUAUGAUGGUUAUUAAUUCCCGUUUUUUCUUUUAUUAUAUUUUCCGAUUUUUCUUUCAUUUUAUGUUAUGAUACUUUUCCAUUAUGUUUUUAUGCAUUUUUGUUACUUUUUCAAAAGAAAAUUCUGCACCACUAACAACGAUGCAGACAAAAAAAAAAGCCCAGAAG